UACGAGGGGGGCAAGCGUUGUUCGGAAUUACUGGGCGUAAAGCGCGCGUAGGCGGCUUUGCAAGUCGGUUGUGAAAUCCCCGGGCUUAACCUGGGAACUGCAUUCGAGACUGCAUUGCUAGAGUACGGGAGAGGAAAGUGGAAUUCCUGGUGUAGCGGUGAAAUGCGUAGAUAUCAGGAGGAACACCGGUGGUGUAGACGGCUUUCUGGACCGUAACUGACGCUGAGACACGAAAGCGUGGGUAGCAAACAGG
Molecule: ribosomal RNA, 253 nt
Filed under: uncultured prokaryote
Description: partial 16S ribosomal RNA
Rfam family: Bacterial small subunit ribosomal RNA
Source: RNAcentral